GCACCCGUAGCUCAGCUGGAUAGAGCGCUGCCCUCCGAAGGCAGAGGUCGUGAGUUCGAAUCUCGCCGGGUGCGCCA
Molecule: transfer RNA, 77 nt
Filed under: Devosia riboflavina
Lineage: Bacteria; Pseudomonadati; Pseudomonadota; Alphaproteobacteria; Hyphomicrobiales; Devosiaceae
Also listed under: 67 other names
Description: tRNA-Arg
Rfam family: tRNA
About the family: Transfer RNA (tRNA) molecules are approximately 80 nucleotides in length.
Source: RNAcentral